RNAcentral lists this ribosomal RNA (1341 nucleotides) under metagenome. RNAcentral describes it as "SSU rRNA". It matches the Rfam family "Eukaryotic small subunit ribosomal RNA", at positions 6 to 1332 of the family's 1831-position model. The record is from RNAcentral.
GGUUGAUCCUGCCAGCAGUAUAUGCUUGUCUCAAAGAUUAAGCCAUGCAUGUCCAAGUAUAAGCAUCUUUAUACAGUGAAACUGCGUACAGCUCAUUAAAUCAGUUAUUAUUUCUUUGAAAGUUGACCAACUACACGGAUACCCGUAGUAAUUCUAGAGCUAAUACGUGCGUCAGGCCCCGACUUUUCGGAAGGGGUGUGCUUAUUAGAUUUAAACCCAUGCCCGCAAGGGUCUGUUGGUGAUUCAUAGUAAUCAUUCGGACGUCGAGUUUUCGACGCGAUUCAUUCAAAUUUCUGCCCUAUCAGCUUUUGAUGGUAGUGUAGUGGACUACCAUGGCGUUCACGGGUAACGGGGAAUUAGGGUUCGAUUCCGGAGAAGGAGCCUGAGGAACGGCUACUACAUCCAAGGAAGGCAGCAGGCGCGCAAAUUACCCACUCCUGACCCAGGGAGGUAGUGACAAGAAAUCCUGAUGCUGAGCGCUUUCAUGUGCUUAGUAACCGGAAUGAGAGGUAGUUAAAUCUCGCUAUCGAAUGCUAAAAGAGGACAAGUCUGGUGCCAGCACCCGCGGUAAUUCCAGCUCUUUUAGCGUACAUUAUCAUUGUUGCAGUUAAAAAGCUCGUAGUUGGAUUUUUGUUUCUAGUUGCUCGGUUCUCCGCGGCGGCAUUUGUCGUCGUGUGAGAGCUGGCCGGAGACAUUUCUCGUCGUUCGUCGUGGCAACACGGCGGAAGGCGAAAUUACUUUGAGAAAAAUAGAGUGUUCCAAGCAGGCGUCACGCCACGAAUACUUCAGCAUGGAAUAAAACCAACGGGCUUUCGUCCUUUUGGUGGGUUCUGGACCAAGUCAUGAUUGAUAGGGACGGUUGGGGGUGCUCGUAUUCCGGGGCCAGAGGUGAAAUUCUUGGAUUCUCGGAAGACGAACAACUGCGAAAGCAUUCACCAAGGACGUUUUCUUUAAUCAAGAACGAAAGUUGGGGGAUCGAAGACGAUCAGAUACCGUCGUAGUCUCAACCAUAAACGAUGCCAACUGAGAAUUCUUUCCAGUCUCUCGUGGGACACGUGCCGCAAGGUAACGGCCCACGAAUCGACGGAAGGGGCGCUCUGUGAGAAAUCAAAGUUUUCGGGUUCCGGGGAGAGUAUUGUCGCAAGGCACAAAUUUAAAGGAAUUGAUGGGAGUUUAUCAUCGGGAAUGGAUUGUGCGGCUCAAAUUGACCCAACACGGGAAAACUUACCAGGUCCGUACAGAGUGAGGAGAAACAGACUGAAGUUCUUUUUUGAUUCUUUGGGAGGUGGUGCAUGGCCGUUCUUAGUUGGUGGUGUGGACUGUCUGGUUAAUUCCGUUAAC